RNAcentral lists this unclassified non-coding RNA (202 nucleotides) under Hevea brasiliensis (rubber tree). Lineage: Eukaryota; Viridiplantae; Streptophyta; Magnoliopsida; Malpighiales; Euphorbiaceae. The record is from RNAcentral.
UCAAGAGCAUCAUGAACAAGGAUAAGAUCCUCAUUCCCCUUUCCAUACUCACUGACUGUAUCAAAACCCACAAUUCCAAGGUCCAAAUCUCCAGAUAACAACUUCCGUACAAUGUCUUUGGGUCGCUGAAACCAGACUUCCAAAUUGGAGAGCUGAGGAAUUUCUGCAACAUAUUGUCGUGGAUUGACCUGCUUGACGGACA